GAUUCGCGGCCUAUCAGCUUGUUGGUGGGGUGAUGGCCUACCAAGGCGGUGACGGGUAGCCGGCCUGAGAGGGCGACCGGCCACACUGGGACUGAGACACGGCCCAGACUCCUACGGGAGGCAGCAGUGGGGAAUAUUGCGCAAUGGGCGGAAGCCUGACGCAGCGACGCCGCGUGGGGGAUGAAGGCCUUCGGGUUGUAAACCUCUUUCAGCGCCGAAGAAGCUUUGGUGACGGUAGGCGCAGAAGAAGCACCGGCUAACUACGUGCCAGCAGCCGCGGUAAUACGUAGGGUGCAAGCGUUGUCCGGAAUUAUUGGGCGUAAAGAGCUCGUAGGCGGUUUGUCGCGUCUGCUGUGAAAAUUCAGGGCUUAACCCUGGGCUUGCAGUGGGUACGGGCAGACUGGAGUGCGGUAGGGGAGACUGGAAUUCCUGGUGUAGCGGUGAAAUGCGCAGAUAUCAGGAGGAACACCGGUGGCGAAGGCGGGUCUCUGGGCCGUUACUGACGCUGAGGAGCGAAAGCGUGGGGAGCGAACAGGAUUAGAUACCCUGGUAGUCCACGCUGUAAACGUUGGGCGCUAGGUGUGGGGCUCUAUUCCACGGGA
RNAcentral lists this ribosomal RNA (602 nucleotides) under uncultured Actinomycetes bacterium. RNAcentral's name for it is "bacterial SSU rRNA". It matches the Rfam family "Bacterial small subunit ribosomal RNA", at positions 228 to 845 of the family's 1533-position model. Lineage: Bacteria; Bacillati; Actinomycetota; Actinomycetes. The record is from RNAcentral.